Molecule: non-coding RNA, 112 nt
Filed under: Echinicola vietnamensis
Lineage: Bacteria; Pseudomonadati; Bacteroidota; Cytophagia; Cytophagales; Cyclobacteriaceae
Also listed under: 1 other name
Description: SAM-I sequence
Rfam family: SAM riboswitch aptamer (S box leader)
About the family: The SAM riboswitch is found upstream of a number of genes which code for proteins involved in methionine or cysteine biosynthesis in Gram-positive bacteria. The SAM riboswitch acts at the level of transcription termination control.
Source: RNAcentral
GAUUUAUAAAGAAUAGGGGAGAGAACAGGCUCGAAGAACCUAUAGCAACCUAUCCCUCUCAACAAAGAAAAGGUGCUAAAUCCUGCCGAAAUCAUUUGAGGACCUAUAAAUG